AUACGGAGGGUGCGAGCGUUGUUCGGAAUUACUGGGCGUAAAGGGCGCGCAGGCGGCUUGAUAAGUCAGAUGUGAAAGCCCACGGCUCAACCGUGGAAGUGCAUCUGAAACUGUCUGGUUUGAGUACUGGAGAGGAAAGUGGAAUUCCUGGUGUAGAGGUGAAAUUCGUAGAUAUCAGGAGGAACACCGGUGGCGAAGGCGACUUUCUGGACAGAUACUGACGCUGAGGCGCGAAAGCGUGGGGAGCAAACAGGAUUAGAAACCCCAGUAGUCC
This 274-nucleotide ribosomal RNA is filed under the name uncultured bacterium. Its description in RNAcentral is "partial 16S ribosomal RNA". It matches the Rfam family "Bacterial small subunit ribosomal RNA", at positions 523 to 796 of the family's 1533-position model. The record is from RNAcentral.